Molecule: non-coding RNA, 128 nt
Organism: Pristis pectinata (smalltooth sawfish)
Lineage: Eukaryota; Metazoa; Chordata; Chondrichthyes; Rhinopristiformes; Pristidae
Product: small Cajal body-specific RNA 24
Exons: 1
Source: RefSeq, a predicted model, not a curated record
UGGGCAUUGUAUCACCCCAGUAUCUUUAAGUUUUGAGAUAACUGGCGAUUCGAUGCCCUAGAUAAAAGAGAAGCCUUCUGUUCAGUCUUCUAAAGUUUGAGGGUUGGAUCGUUCCACUUCUUACAUUA